UACAGAGACCUCAAGCAUUAUCCGGAUUUAUUGGGCGUAAAGGGUCCGCAGGUGGUCUGGUGCGUCAUUGGUUAAAUGUGUGGGCUCAACCUACAUACCGCCAGUGAUACGACCAGACUUGAGACUGGGAGAGGCAAGCGGAAUUACUGGUGUAGUAGUAAAAUGCGUCAAUAUCAGUAAGAACACCAAAAGCGAAGGCAGCUUGCUGGAACAGUUCUGACACUCAGGGACGAAAGCGUGGGGAGCGAAUGGG
Molecule: ribosomal RNA, 253 nt
Filed under: uncultured bacterium
Lineage: Bacteria
Description: partial 16S ribosomal RNA
Rfam family: Bacterial small subunit ribosomal RNA
Source: RNAcentral